Molecule: non-coding RNA, 388 nt
Organism: Nicotiana tabacum (common tobacco)
Lineage: Eukaryota; Viridiplantae; Streptophyta; Magnoliopsida; Solanales; Solanaceae
Source: RefSeq, a predicted model, not a curated record
CACUGACAAAACGAAUUGAAUUCUUGAUCUUUCUUCAUUGUGUAUCGUGUGGUGCAAUCUCCUGGGUCUAAGCGGUCAGAAGCAUUGCUUGAGCCAAAGGAAACUAUUGUCCUUACUCCUAAGAAUGUGCAGGCACUAAGAACACUUUUCAACAUAUCUCAUCGACUGCAUAAUGUUUUAGGUCCUUCAUGGAGCUUGGUACUGGAGACUCUAGCUUCUCUUGACCGAACUAUUCAUUCUCCACAUGCAACUACACAGGUAAUAUUGGAUGUCAACAAAGGAAAGGGCUAGUUUAUCUUCAAUUAUUAUUUUUGGAGAUUGAUUGGACCAAUCUCUAAAAUUGAAUUGACCUACUUCAACACUAAUAGGCUAGUGUCCUUAGAGAGUU